This 4458-nucleotide long non-coding RNA is filed under the name Sorghum bicolor (sorghum). RNAcentral describes it as "long non-coding RNA (SBIC_LNC017702)". The record is from RNAcentral. Lineage: Eukaryota; Viridiplantae; Streptophyta; Magnoliopsida; Poales; Poaceae.
GUACCUUUCUACUUUUGUAAGACUUUCCUUUUAUUAAUAUAUUAUUCUUACUUUACUUUACUGAGUUCUUACUUAGUGCAAGUCUUUUAGUCUUGUUGUGCAUUUACUUUAGUAAUAUAGUUGUCUUAGUGAAGUUAGUGACCUGUAACCACUCCUGUGUGUGCAUCAUCGUCCUAUCUUGUAUAGGAGCUCUAGCUAGCUGCAACUAGUUAGAGUUGUAGGAUUAAGUGUGAGCGUGGUGCUCAUACUUACGAUUACCUUUGAUUACCACUGGCUUGAACGGAAAGUAGGAGCGCACUCCCUAGUAGGUGACAGAUCGUGGGCGGCAUUAGGUUCUCCUCACGUACAGGCUAGUUCUUAAAAGGUAAGGCGUCCAUAAGCCCAAUAGUCGCUUUCGGUAAGGGGUUAGGUGAAAAACCUUCUAAGCGUCUUACCAGCUCGGCUAUCCCUGGCACACAGUUAGUAAGGCUCUAGCGUAGUUAAGACAAUUAUCUAUUAAAGUAAGUCACAGAAGUCAAGUUAGAUACAUAGGAGUCCUUUACUCACUCAUUGUCCUCCCACCUAGCUAACUCUACCAUUUACCUUUAGCAUAGGACCUUGGAUUCACCACUACCCUUCCUAUUCGUUAUUUACCACCCUUAUUCACUAGUUGAUACUAGAUAACUCAAGGAAUCUCAUUCCCCUUUUUGUUAAACACACUUAGCCGCUUACCCUUGGGAAAAUAUAAAUUACGAUACCUUGGAAUACUCCUUGGUGAAGUGCUACAGCGGUACAUUCUGUGCGCUUGCGGAAUUAUCCAAUAGUAAAUAGAGUUACCCUACCAGGGCACUUCUGGCGCCGUCGCCGAUAUCCGGUGGUUGCGUUAAGAAGUGUCAACAAUAUCGACCUCGGAAGUCCUGAGAUAAACUCACAUUGGAGAUAAAGAGAGACACACAUCAAGUUUAACAAUUUACACAAGGAAGACGUAGCUCAUAAGAGAUGAUCCAUGGAGGGUGCCACAAACAUGAUGCACAACCGCUAAGAAGGGAAAGCUUCCACAAGGUGAUACUGUACCAUCACUCUUCAAGUAAGUUAACAUCUUAAGGUACUUGACUAUCACUUUUAUAAGCUUCUCCUUGGUUCUGGCGUUCAUAUGAAUAAAAGAGAUAAACAUGUAUGAUUUACAACUCUAGGUUAUCCAACCCAAUCGAUUCAACAUGUUUAGUCCUUCCACCUUUGUGAUCCCACACUCCUAAUCAUAUGAGCUAAAAUGUUGCAAACUCAAUCUUUGGAAGAUAUAUAUAAAAAAACAUAAAUAUAGAUAGAUUAUAUUUCCAUUAGGUUGAACGAUCUGAUGUGACAAAUGUUUUUAAUACUACACUCAUGAUCUUAUUAUCCAUCAAAUUUGUCUUGCCCCUAUGCUUAAGGAUAGAGAAGAUAUACUAUUGGUUCUGUUGGUGUUUUCCACCAAUAGGACUCAUGCACUUGAUCUCUGCCUUGUCUCUAUGAGCAGGACAUAUUUUGAGAAACAUGGAGGAUUUUUCAACUCCUAGACUCUACCAAGUGAAGGACGUGGAUCUACGAGCACAAACACACUGAGCAGGAUGCUGCCAACGCCGCACUUCGAACUGCUGGGCAAACGAAGAAUAUGGGUGACACCGUAUCAACAGGUGCAGACAUCAAGGUUCACACCUAAGUCAAAUGACGCACCUAAAGAAUGAACACGGUGAGAAGUCUUGUUCAGAAGACUUAAAACAUUGAACCCUCGCCGAAAGGUAAAAUCGGUAGUUAUCCAUAUUUAUCCUUUCUGCAUUCCCUUUUCCCUUAAAUAAUUUACUUUCCUUAAAUAGCUUGUUAGUUAAUCAUGCUAUCUUGAAAAAUAGUAAGCCCCAUGUGAGUAUGCUCGUGGCAUAAAAUCCAUAAGUACAUUCACUGUGGUGGCGUAAAAAUAAAAUAAAUAUAUUCCUGUCCUAUAAAAAUGAAAAUAUAAAAAUAAGAUUGUGAUCCCACUAAAGAGGAUAAUAUUUAUUGUGGAGGCUCAACAUGAUAAAGGCUAUAUAUUUAUGCUAACUCUUAACUAGUUCCACAAAGCUUUGUUGUCUAUUUGAGCUCCACAGAAUUCAAGGAUCAAGAAAACGAGCAGACGGAGGACAUCCUAAUUGUUGUCAGGGUGCUGCCGACAUUCAAAUACACCUCCACUACCUCCUAGCUCCAUGAGAAGAAAUUACAUCAAAAUCCAGCUUGGGGGAGAGCACCCCCAAUUAUCCAGCUAAGUGUUUCUACUCGCAUUUAUACUUUACUCAAAUAAUAAAAAGAUGUAUAAUCAUAAAAAACCCAAAUAAAGAUUUUUAUGCUUAUAUAUAUCUUUGCUUAGUUUGCUAAAUAAAUAAAGUUUGCCAUGAAACCUCAUGAUAAGCUCUUACAUGGAAAUGAUGAAUAGUUACUCUGCCAUGACUAGUCCUCAAAAUUAAAUUCUCUCUCAAGUUUAGGCAUGACUGUUAUGAAUUAAGUUUUGCUCUAAAUCUGAACUUGUGGGUGGACUACUUGAUCUAAAGUCUAAGUCGUUAACGGAUAUGAUAUGGGAAGGUUGAGCUCCUAUUUAUUUGUUCCUAGAGAUGCUAGAAUUCUAGAGAAUUUUAUCUUUGAAAAUCUUUAAAAUGUUGCAUGAUGAGUUCCUGUAUGAUGAGAGUUUAAAAUCCUACCACAGCCAUAUAUACAUGCUUAUUAAACUAUGAACCAUACAUUUACUUUUUACUGCUUAUGAGCAUUGAGUGUGGUCAAGCUGUGUGGACCCUUAGGAGCUUGUCAUGCGAUUAAAAUAAAGAUUCACUUGCAUGUUCACUCAUACAUGCUGCUUCUACUCCGGAAGUACGCAUCCACAUAUAUCCACUCAUUUCCAUUUUCAGAUUCACCUAAAAUUAUUCUACUCCUAUCCGGGAGAGAAUAGCCAAAAACAUUAUCCUAUACUUGUUAUUCCCUGUGAAAUAAAUGCUUGAGAUAUUUUGGUUACUACCACUUGCUAUAUUAUUCCAGGAGGGUGAGUGCUCUAAAAAAGAAAAAAAAGAAGGGAAAACAUACGAGGAAAUAAAAAGGGGCAAGUGCCCGGAACCUCGAAGAAAAGAAAAAGUGAGACGAGAGGUAAAAAUGGACAAGUGUCCGACAGUAGAAUUAGGGGUACAAGAUACCCACCUGAGAGAAAAGAAAAAGAAAACAUAGAGCAUCUCAUUCUCCUCAAAAAGCUUCAAAGUGCAAGAAAGGUAUGUAUCCCCUCAAAAGAGCAAAAGUAGAAUUAGACUUUUACCAUUGUUUUCACCAUCAUCACCAUACACCAUUCAUUCGCCACACAUGCACAUCUUGAUAUUGACUUAUUGACUUGUUUCUCUAGAUCCAUGGUUUGACUAUGCAAUGAAUGUCUUGUAAGUAUGUAUGCUUCACCUCCCACCUAUGAGCUCCAGAUAUCAAAACCUUAUUAGAGUAGGGUGAGAGAGAAGGCAAUGUCACUAUGCCUCAUACCAAAAAUACCACAUACUUUGAGAGAAGGCAACACCAUCACUGCCUUGGUAAGGAUAAAGAAAUACAACAAAAGAGAGAUUUGAGAGAGUCAUACAAGGAAUCUCUGAGUUUUAUUUUGAAAAUCCGCAAAAACUCCAGAGCUAUAGUUGAUCAAAGAACAAGAGACAUGGCGCUUGACUUGACCGUUCUAUCUUUUAACUGCUCAAGACACAAGUGACGGUUACAAGCCCCAUGGUGAAAUGUAAAAUGAGUGAGUUUAAAUCUUAAUAGUUUACCCUAACCCAGAGAUGAGAUGUUGUUUGAACACAUGUGAACCUUUAAGGCAUGAAACCACUAUAGAAACUCUUGAGUCCAUCCUUGCUCAGAGACGAGCAAGAGGUAAGCUUGGGGGACUUGUUGACGGUCCUUAAGUACCAAAUUUAAUUAUCAAAUAAACAAAUAAAAGGAUCCAAAUGUAACCAACACUCAGACUUAGGGUUUUAUCUGACAGAUGUCCAUGAGUUUUGGUGUUUGUCUAUUUCUACAGGGGGUUAUCAGGAAAUAUGGAGGAAAGGCCCACAUGUCGGGUUUACAUAGAGAUAUUAAUGUGCUGUGCAAUUUAGUAUCAUCUAGAAGACUCCAGAAGCCACGGGAACGAACGGGAAGCUGAGCGGGCUCGGGGACAGGGCGCCCGCCCUACUCCUUAGGGCGCCCGCCCUACUUUUUCCACCAAUCACACUCUACUUCGCGGAUUAUGCUCCACCAACCUAAAGAAUCAAGGAGAACAGUUCAAUCAAUGUCGGUUUGAUCCGACGGCCUACGUUCACUUGAGGGGACUAUAUAAGCAGGACCCCUGGCCCCUCGAGGAAAAACCCCUUGAUCCCUAUUCAUUAUUCAUAAACAGAGCAAAAGCUAGUGUUUGGAGAUGAGAGCUCUCCUCUCUUCUCUAAAUUAGAGUAGAUCCAGAUAGUAGCGAGAUGGAGAGCG